GAAUGAUGUGAUGAUUUAUUGUUUCCCUAUUGGUUUGAUUGCCGUGAUGAUGGCAUCUUUGUAUUAGCUCUAUCUGAUCAUUC
RNAcentral lists this small nucleolar RNA (83 nucleotides) under Corchorus olitorius. Its description in RNAcentral is "Small nucleolar RNA Z102/R77". It matches the Rfam family "Small nucleolar RNA Z102/R77". From Rfam's summary of the family: Z102 and R77 and are members of the C/D class of snoRNA which contain the C (UGAUGA) and D (CUGA) box motifs. Most of the members of the box C/D family function in directing site-specific 2'-O-methylation of substrate RNAs. Lineage: Eukaryota; Viridiplantae; Streptophyta; Magnoliopsida; Malvales; Malvaceae. The record is from Rfam by way of RNAcentral.